AUUGAACGCUGGCGGAAUGCUUUACACAUGCAAGUCGAACGGUAGAGGGGGCAACCCCUCGAGAGUGGCGAACGGGUGAGUAAUAUAUCGGAACGUGCCCAGUCGUGGGGGAUAACGUAGCGAAAGUUACGCUAAUACCGCAUACGAUCUAAGGAUGAAAGCGGGGGAUCGCAAGACCUCGCGCGAUUGGAGCGGCCGAUAUCAGAUUAGGUAGUUGGUGGGGUAAAGGCUCACCAAGCCAACGAUCUGUAGCUGGUCUGAGAGGACGACCAGCCACACUGGAACUGAGACACGGUCCAGCCUGCUACGGGAGGCAGCAGUGGGGAAUUUUGGACAAUGGACGCAAGUCUGAUCCAGCCAUUCCGCGUGCAGGAUGAAGGUCCUCGGGUUGUAAACUGCUUUUGUACGGAACGAAAAGGUCUCUCUUAAUACGGGGGGCUCAUGACGGUACCGUAAGAAUAAGCACCGGCUAACUACGUGCCAGCCGCCGCUGUAA
This 496-nucleotide ribosomal RNA is filed under the name uncultured bacterium. RNAcentral describes it as "partial 16S ribosomal RNA". It matches the Rfam family "Bacterial small subunit ribosomal RNA", at positions 30 to 523 of the family's 1533-position model. The record is from RNAcentral.